CGUGUUCGACCCACCAGGUGGCAAGCUCUCGCGGACCAAUCGGAAGAUCUCGUAAUAAAAUACUUUGUUUUUUUGCAGCCUUCCGAUAAGUGUUGUUUCGCAAUGUAGCAACCUUAAGUAUACCAUCGCGAAGGCUUCCUACCGACAAUGUGGCCAGGUCCAUCACUAAAGCGUAACCAAGUUUUUCUGAAAAUCAACCACAAAGAAGAAAGGGCAAAGUGGUGGAAAAAUUUGUACUUGUUAGAAGACAAGAGAAAAGAAAGUGAGAAAGAAUAAAAGAACGAAAGAAACAAA
Molecule: long non-coding RNA, 294 nt
Filed under: Polistes fuscatus (common paper wasp)
Lineage: Eukaryota; Metazoa; Arthropoda; Insecta; Hymenoptera; Vespidae
Description: uncharacterized LOC122525211
Source: RNAcentral